UACGUAGGGUGCAAGCGUUAAUCGGAAUUACUGGGCGUAAAGCGUGCGCAGGCGGCUUUGCAAGACAGAUGUGAAAUCCCCGGGCUUAACCUGGGAACUGGAUUUGUGACUGCAUGGCUAGAGUGCGGCAGAGGGGGAUGGAAUUCCGCGUGUAGCAGUGAAAUGCGUAGAUAUGCGGAGGAACACCGAUGGCGAAGGCAAUCCCCUGGGCCUGCACUGACGCUCAUGCACGAAAGCGUGGGGAGCAAACAGG
Molecule: ribosomal RNA, 253 nt
Filed under: uncultured bacterium
Lineage: Bacteria
Description: partial 16S ribosomal RNA
Rfam family: Bacterial small subunit ribosomal RNA
Source: RNAcentral